UAAUAUUAAGUUUAUUAAUAAAUGGUUUAAUUAUGGCUAUAAAAAUCAUUAAAUAUUAAACUGCAUAAAAAUUUAAUUUUUAUUGUAUAAAAUUUUUAUUUAUAUUUUUUAGCAGAGAGUUUUUUAUUAAAUUUUGUAAGAAAGAUAAAGGAGUAUUUAAUAAAUGGGGGAUAAGGCACAGUGCCAGCAUCCGCGGUUAGUCUGUUUCCAUAGAUUUUUUUAUGAUUUGUUUUAUUUAUAAAUUAAUAGUAUAAAUUUUAUUAUUACUAAGUUAAGUUUUGAUAAAUAGUUUUAUUUAACCUUUUUAUGUAAAGUGGAUUAGAUACCCACGUAAUUAAGGAUAUAAUUAUAUCUUAGUGUAAACUAAAAUAUUUUGGCAGCUAAUUGUUUCAAAACAGGGGAAGAUGUUAAUUAAAAGAUGAUCCCCUAAUUAUUUUACUUUAUUUAUUUAGUUAGUGUAUAUCCGGUUUAAUAUUAUUAAUAUUAGUUUAAAAAAUGUAAAUAAAGAAUUUAAGCCAGGUCGAUAUGCUGUUUAUAAUAAAGGUUUAAUGUCUUACUAUAAAAAUAUUUAAUAAGAAUUUAUUUUCAUUUAGGACUUGUUAGUAAAAUUAAAUAAAAUUGUUAAUUUGAAAUUUGUUCAAUUAGGGUACACAUUGCCCGUCAAUCUCGGUUUUUCUGAGGUAAGUCGUAACAUGGUAACCCUUGGUGAACCAGGGGUUAAU
RNAcentral lists this non-coding RNA (722 nucleotides) under Thaparocleidus asoti. Lineage: Eukaryota; Metazoa; Platyhelminthes; Monogenea; Dactylogyridea; Ancylodiscoididae. The record is from RNAcentral.